This 267-nucleotide ribosomal RNA is filed under the name uncultured bacterium. RNAcentral describes it as "partial 16S ribosomal RNA". It matches the Rfam family "Bacterial small subunit ribosomal RNA", at positions 123 to 406 of the family's 1533-position model. The record is from RNAcentral.
AACAUACCCUUUGGUACGGAAUAGCCUCUGGAAACGGAGAGUAAUACCGUAUGUGGUCGUAAGACGAAAGAUUUAUCGCCAAAGGAUUGGCCCGCGUUGGAUUAGGUAGUUGGUGGGGUAAUGGCCUACCAAGCCGACGAUCCAUAGCUGGUUUGAGAGGAUGAUCAGCCACACUGGGACUGAGACACGGCCCAGACUCCUACGGGAGGCAGCAGUGGGGAAUCUUAGACAAUGGGCGCAAGCCUGAUCUAGCCAUGCCGCGUGAUC